AACGAACGCUGGCGGCAUGCCUAACACAUGCAAGUCGAACGAGACCUUCGGGGCUAGUGGCGCACGGGUGCGUAACGCGUGGGAACCUGCCCUUAGGUUCGGAAUAACUCCCGGAAAGGGGUGCUAAUACCGGAUAAUGUCUUCGGAGCAAAGAUUUAUCGCCUUUGGAUGGGCCCGCGUUGGAUUAGCUAGUUGGUAGGGUAAAGGCCUACCAAGGCGACGAUCCAUAGCUGGUCUGAGAGGAUGAUCAGCCACACUGGGACUGAGACACGGCCCAGACUCCUACGGGAGGCAGCAGUGGGGAAUAUUGCGCAAUGGGCGAAAGCCUGAUCCAGCCAUGCCGCGUGAGUGAUGAAGGCCUUAGGAUUGUAAAGUUCUUUCACCCGGGAUGAUAAUGACGGUACCGGGAGAAUAAGCUCCGGCUAACUCCGUG
RNAcentral lists this ribosomal RNA (433 nucleotides) under uncultured bacterium. RNAcentral describes it as "partial 16S ribosomal RNA". It matches the Rfam family "Bacterial small subunit ribosomal RNA", at positions 29 to 507 of the family's 1533-position model. The record is from RNAcentral.